GAAGAACCUUACCUGGUCUUGACAUCCACAGAACUUUCCAGAGAUGGAUUGGUGCCUUCGGGAACUGUGAGACAGGUGCUGCAUGGCUGUCGUCAGCUCGUGUUGUGAAAUGUUGGGUUAAGUCCCGCAACGAGCGCAACCCUUAUCUUUUGUUGCCAGCGGUCCGGCCGGGAACUCAAAGGAGACUGCCAGUGAUAAACUGGAGGAAGGUGGGGAUGACGUCAAGUCAUCAUGGCCCUUACGACCAGGGCUACACACGUGCUACAAUGGCGCAUACAAAGAGAAGCGACCUCGCGAGAGCAAGCGGACCUCAUAAAGUGCGUCGUAGUCCGGAUUGGAGUCUGCAACUCGACUCCAUGAAGUCGGAAUCGCUAGUAAUCGUGGAUCAGAAUGCCACGGUGAAUACGUUCCCGGGCCUUGUACACACCGCCCGUCACACCAUGGGAGUGGGUUGCAAAAGAAGUAGGUAGCUUAACCUUCGGGAGGGCGCUUACCACUUUGUGAUUCAUGAC
This 512-nucleotide ribosomal RNA is filed under the name uncultured Pseudomonadota bacterium. Its description in RNAcentral is "bacterial SSU rRNA". It matches the Rfam family "Bacterial small subunit ribosomal RNA", at positions 963 to 1475 of the family's 1533-position model. Lineage: Bacteria; Pseudomonadati; Pseudomonadota. The record is from RNAcentral.